Molecule: ribosomal RNA, 253 nt
Filed under: uncultured bacterium
Lineage: Bacteria
Description: partial 16S ribosomal RNA
Rfam family: Bacterial small subunit ribosomal RNA
Source: RNAcentral
UACGUAGGGUGCAAGCGUUAUCCGGAAUUAUUGGGCGUAAAGAGCUCGUAGGCGGUUUGUCGCGUCUGCUGUGAAAACCGGAGGCUCAACCUCCGGCCUGCAGUGGGUACGGGCAAACUAGAGUAUGGCAGGGGAGACUGGAAUUCCUGGUGUAGCGGUGAAAUGCGCAGAUAUCAGGAGGAACACCGGUGGCGAAGGCGGGUCUCUGGGCCAUAACUGACGCUGAGGAGCGAAAGCGUGGGGAGCGAACAGG